CAAUAGCGUAUAUUAAAGUUGUUGCGGUUAAAAAGUUCGUAGUUGGAUUUCUGCCAAGGACGACCGGUCCGCCCUCUGGGUGAGUAUCUGGCUUGGCCUGGGCAUCUUCUUGGAGAACGUUGCUGCACUUCGCUGUGUGGCGCGGUAUCCAGGACCUUUACUUUGAGGAAAUUAGAGUGUUUCAAGCAGGCUUUCGCCUUGAAUACAUUAGCAUGGAAUAAUAAGAUAGGACCUCGGUUCUAUUUUGUUGGUUUCUAGAGCUGGGGUAAUGAUUAAUAGGGAUAGUUGGGGGCAUUCGUAUUUAACUGUCAGAGGUGAAAUUCUUGGAUUUGUUAAAGACGGACCACUGCGAAAGCAUUUGCCAAGGAUGUUUUCAUUGA
This 380-nucleotide ribosomal RNA is filed under the name uncultured eukaryote. RNAcentral's name for it is "partial 18S ribosomal RNA". It matches the Rfam family "Eukaryotic small subunit ribosomal RNA", at positions 592 to 976 of the family's 1831-position model. The record is from RNAcentral.